Molecule: RNase P RNA, 397 nt
Filed under: bovine gut metagenome
Description: Bacterial RNase P class A
Rfam family: Bacterial RNase P class A
About the family: Ribonuclease P (RNase P) is a ubiquitous endoribonuclease, found in archaea, bacteria and eukarya as well as chloroplasts and mitochondria. Its best characterised activity is the generation of mature 5'-ends of tRNAs by cleaving the 5'-leader elements of precursor-tRNAs.
Source: RNAcentral
AGUAAGGAGGAUAGUCGCUUGAAAGAUUUAUUCUUUCAAGAGGAAAGUCGGGACUUUAUAGGAUGAGGCUAGUUGUUAACGGCAACUUUGAGUAAUCAAAGGAAAGUGCUACAGAAAAGGAAACCACCAAAAUUAAUUUUUUGGAACGGGUGAAAAGGUGAGGUAAAAGCAUCACCAGUAGAGGAGGUGACUCCUUUAGCUUAGUAAACCCUAGUCAAAGCAAGACCAAAUGAGAAAGUUUUAAAGUUGACGAAAGUUAAUUUUAAAUGGUGUUCAUCCGCAUCACAAAUCUUUCUAGGUAGUGUCGCUUGAGCUUAUUGGCAACAAUAAGUCUAGAUGAAUGACUAUCAAAAUAAGUAAUACUUAUUUACAGAAUCCCGCUUAUAUCCUUGCUCUA